Molecule: transfer RNA, 81 nt
Filed under: Procavia capensis (Cape rock hyrax)
Lineage: Eukaryota; Metazoa; Chordata; Mammalia; Hyracoidea; Procaviidae
Description: tRNA-Ser (AGA) (tRNA-Ser-AGA-6-1)
Rfam family: tRNA
About the family: Transfer RNA (tRNA) molecules are approximately 80 nucleotides in length. Their secondary structure includes four short double-helical elements and three loops (D, anti-codon, and T loops).
Source: RNAcentral
GUAGUCACAGCCGAGUGGUUAAGGUGAUGGACUAGAAAUCCAUUGGGGUUUCCCGUGCAGGUUCAGAUCCUGCUGACUACG